This 441-nucleotide ribosomal RNA is filed under the name uncultured bacterium. RNAcentral describes it as "partial 16S ribosomal RNA". It matches the Rfam family "Bacterial small subunit ribosomal RNA", at positions 338 to 795 of the family's 1533-position model. The record is from RNAcentral.
CCUACGGGUGGCAGCAGUGGGGAAUAUUGCACAAUGGGGGAAACCCUGAUGCAGCGACGCCGCGUGAGUGAAGAAGUAUUUCGGUAUGUAAAGCUCUAUCAGCAGGAACGAGACAAGACGGUACCUGACUAAGAAGCCCCGGCUAACUACGGGCCAGCAGCCGCGGGAAUACGUAGGGGGCAAGCGUUAUCCGGAAUCACUGGGUGUAAAGGGAGCGUAGACGGCUGAGCAAGCCUGAAGUGAAAGGCGGGGGCCCAACCCCUGGACUGCUUUGGGAACUGUACGGCUGGAGUGCAGGAGAGGCAAGUGGAAUUCCUGGUGUAGCGGUGAAAUGCGUAGAUAUUAGGAGGAACACCAGUGGCGAAGGCGGCUUACUGGACUGUAACUGACGUUGAGGCUCGAAAGCGUGGGGAGCAAACAGGAUUAGAUACCCCGGUAGUC